RNAcentral lists this ribosomal RNA (709 nucleotides) under uncultured bacterium. RNAcentral's name for it is "bacterial SSU rRNA". It matches the Rfam family "Bacterial small subunit ribosomal RNA", at positions 57 to 753 of the family's 1533-position model. The record is from RNAcentral.
GCAGUCGACGGCAGCGCGGAAUGGGGCAACCCGGCCUGGCGGCGAGUGGCGAACGGGUGAGUAAUAUAUCGGAACGUACCCUGGAGUGGGGGAUAACGUAGCGAAAGUUACGCUAAUACCGCAUACGAUCUAAGGAUGAAAGUGGGGGAUGCGCAAGCACCUCAUGCUCCUGGAGCGGCCGAUAUCUGAUUAGCUAGUUGGUGGGGUAAAGGCCUACCAAGGCAUCGAUCAGUAGCUGGUCUGAGAGGACGACCAGCCACACUGGAACUGAGACACGGUCCAGACUCCUACGGGAGGCAGCAGUGGGGAAUUUUGGACAAUGGGCGAAAGCCUGAUCCAGCAAUGCCGCGUGAGUGAAGAAGGCCUUCGGGUUGUAAAGCUCUUUUGUCAGGGAAGAAACGGUGAAGGCUAAUAUCUUUUGCUAAUGACGGUACCUGAAGAAUAAGCACCGGCUAACUACGUGCCAGCAGCCGCGGUAAUACGUAGGGUGCAAGCGUUAAUCGGAAUUACUGGGCGUAAAGCGUGCGCAGGCGGUUUUGUAAGUCUGUCGUGAAAUCCCCGGGCUCAACCUGGGAAUUGCGAUGGAGACUGCAAGGCUAGAAUCUGGCAGAGGGGGGUAGAAUUCCACGUGUAGCAGUGAAAUGCGUAGAGAUGUGGAGGAACACCGAUGGCGAAGGCAGCCCCCUGGGUCAAGAUUGACGCUCAUGCA